RNAcentral lists this ribosomal RNA (495 nucleotides) under Octopus variabilis. RNAcentral's name for it is "partial 16S ribosomal RNA". It matches the Rfam family "Bacterial large subunit ribosomal RNA", at positions 1927 to 2598 of the family's 2925-position model. Lineage: Eukaryota; Metazoa; Mollusca; Cephalopoda; Octopoda; Octopodidae. The record is from RNAcentral.
ACAGCUGCGGUAUUAUAACUGUACUAAGGUAGCAUAAUAAUUUGCCUUAUAAAUUAAGGCUAGAAUGAAUGGUUUGACGAAAAUUAGACUGUCUUUAUUUUAUUUGUUAGAAAUUAAUUUUUAUAGUGAAAAAGCUUGAAUAAUUUAAGGGGACGAGAAGACCCUAUUGAGCUUUAUUUAUUAAUAUUUAAAUAUAAAUAUAUAAUUUAUAUUAUGAAAAUUAUGUUGUAUAUAUAUAUAUAUUUAAUUGGAUUUAAUUUUGAUUGGGGUGAUCAAGGAAUAAAGAUAAAGUAACUUCCUUAAAAUUAAUGAUUGUUUUUAUAGAGUAAUAAACCAAGUUUUUUGCUUAUAAGAUAAGUUACCAUAGGGGUAACAGCGUAAUUUUUUUUGAGAGUUCAUAUUGAAAAAAGAGAUUGCGACCUCGAUGUUGGAUUAAAAAUUACCUUAAGGUGUAGAGGCUUUGUUAGGUGAAUCUGUUCGAUUUUUAAAAUUUUA